UACAGAGGUCUCAAGCGUUGUUCGGAUUCAUUGGGCGUAAAGGGUGCGUAGGCGGCGAGGUAAGUCGGGUGUGAAAUCUCGGAGCUUAACUCCGAAACUGCAUUCGAUACUGCCGUGCUUGAGGACUGGAGAGGAGACUGGAAUUUACGGUGUAGCGGUGAAAUGCGUAGAUAUCGUAAGGAAGACCAGUGGCGAAGGCGGGUCUCUGGACAGUUCCUGACGCUGAGGCACGAAGGCCAGGGGAGCAAACGGG
RNAcentral lists this ribosomal RNA (253 nucleotides) under uncultured bacterium. RNAcentral's name for it is "partial 16S ribosomal RNA". It matches the Rfam family "Bacterial small subunit ribosomal RNA", at positions 524 to 776 of the family's 1533-position model. The record is from RNAcentral.